GGCCGGCGGGACAAAGUGUGGCAGCUUCAAAAGCCGUCGAGCCGAGGGGGACUCCCCAAAGCCUCGCAAGCGCGGCCCUUGAGAAGGAAGGACGCACCGUUGAGGAACAUGCCCCUUCGACUGCGACAACUCACGCGGUUUCCAACACUCUCCUUAAUUCUCAUCACCGGAUUUGGAGUUGCAGGUGGUCUUUAUAUCCUUGCAAGGAAGACCUUCUUUGUUCCUGAAGUGAGCUUGGAGAAAAACCAAGAAUUGUGGAAUAACCUGGGUCCCAGUGACAAGUUAUUUGCCAUGUCCGUGGACUCCAAAGACCUGAAGAAGGAUCGUCCAGACUGCUGAAAGUGUCACACUGAGUUAGUUCCCUACUCCUGCCAUGUUGAAGGAAAGUUGCUGGACUUGUCAUUGGCACAGCUGCAUCUUCUGCCGUCUUGCCAGGCAGAACAUGUCAGCCUUUCGAGAGUUCUCGAUUAAGCUUCUGCCUCAGCCAAGAUAACUUUGCAGCUGUUCUUCCCUGCCUCUGCAGUUUGCUGGUGUCAACCGCAAAGAUCACCAAUCAACAUCUACAGCCCAUCCAACAGAAUGAAAAGUGCGCAGUGACCCAUUCUACCUCUGGGAAAUGCCCUUAGAUAUUGAGCUGACAAACAACUUGUUUAUUUAAAAAAAAAAAAUCAGGAGGGUGGGGGGAAGAGAGGGAGAGGCAAAGUGACACAAAGCGCAUUCUUUUUGGUCCCAUUUGUGCAAACUUUUUGGUUCAGUAUUUUCCUUCCCUUCCUACAAAAAUCCUUGACCUUGAUGCGUGGCAUUUCCUGCCUCCCACGCUCAGUUUUACCAUUCCCACAGAGACAGGAUAGUCCCAGCACCUAGAUCAGUGAUGGAGAACCUUUUGGGCUUGGUGUGUCCAAAAUUUGAAAAAUGCCUAAUUUGACUCACUACCCACCCCCUCAAACAAAAUUCGUUACAUACUCAUUUGUUUAAAAAACAUAUACAUGUGUGAUUCCCACAAUCUGCUGCACACUUCCCUCAGGUGGUGUUCUCUUUCUGUUGACAGGCCGCUGCGGCAGCUCUGGGUCACCCGGGGCCUUCAUUCUUGAACCGGCUUGGGAGAAGGCUCUUCCACGGCCUCUGCAGCCUCCGAAAACCACAAAAGCACAUCCCAUUCUUGUAUGAUUUUCAGAGGUUCUGGAGACUGCAGAAGUCCACAGCCUUCUCAUGUGACUUCUGGAGGGUCCGGAGGCCACAUGAGAACAUUUUUUUUAUUUUUUAUUUGAUUUAUAUGCCGCCCUUCUCCGGAGACUCAGGGCGGUUUACAGUGCGUUAAGCAAUAGCCUUCAUACUUUUGUAUAUUUAUACAAAGUCAGCUUAUUGCCCCCACAAACUGGGUCCUCAAUUUACCUACCUUAGAAAGCAUGGAAGGCUGAGUCAACCUUGAGCCUGGCGAGAUUCGAUCUUACUUUUAACUGCAGACAGCUGGUGUUAAAUUACAGUGCUUCUGUCUGUUGAGCUAAACCAGGCUCCCUAUUAACAUACCCUAUUCUCACACGGCCUCCAAAAUUUGUGCAAGAACAGGGUGUGCUUUCAAAAAUAUUGCCGGGUGUUGGUGAAUGUCAGUGUGUCACCCAAAACACAGUGUGUCACUCUUGACAUUGUGCCAUAGGUUCACCAUCAUUGACCUAGAUAUUGGCAUUAAUAAUGCCAGUUGAAUUCUUUUAGAGGACACUGCCUAUCACCAAUUCUGAAAGGAGUCCCAAGUGAUCCAGAUUAGUCUGCAGAUGUAUCACAUUUUCACAGAAUCUAUCUGGGCUUCAUUAGGAGUACAGGUAGCUCUUGACUUAUAACAGUUCAUUUAGUGACCAUUCAAAGUUACAACAGCACUGAAAAAAGUGACUUAUGACCAUUUUUCAUACUUAAGAUGAUUGCAGCAUCCCCGUGGUCAUGUGAUUUACAUUCGGAUGUCUAUGGAGAUUCUCAGUCAUCCAGGUCAUGCUUGAAAACCGGUUCGUAUUUAUGACGGUUGUAAUGACCCGGGGUCAUAUGAUUAUCUUUUGCAACCUUCUGACAAGCAAAUAUCAAACUGCUAAGCUGUUUCAAAAAGAGUUGAAACUAGUUUGAGAGAGGUAUUGCAUCUGUUAACAGACAUAUACACCAGCUAGCUCACUUUUGUCUCACGCUCUUGUCUCACAGGCUCUCUGGGAAGAAUUUAAUAAUAGAAAAACCUGUAAGACCAUUUUCUCAGUAGCAACACGAGGUGCGGAUUGGCAGACCAUAACCACCUAGAGUUGGGACUGGGAGUCAUAAAAAUAAUUGCACGAUUCUCUUUCAAACUAUCUUUAUCUUUGGGAAAAUUGUGUCUUCCCUAUCUGGGUUCUUUGGCUCCAACCACAAAACAUACAUACAGGCCAGAGAUAGACCAACAGGCCACAAGUGACUUGCAACUUGAUCCUCACUCUUACAAACCACCGCAUCAUCCUCAUAGUCACAUGAUUGAAAUCCAGGUGCUUGGCAACCAGCAUGUAGGUACAAUGGUUGCCGCAUCCCAGAGUCGUGUGAUCACUAUCUGUGACCUUCCCAGGCAGCUUCCAACAAGCAAAGUCAAUGGAAGAAGCUGGAUUCGCUUAACAACCACACCCAUUCAGUUAAUAGUGAUUUGCAGCUUUGGCCAAAAGGAUGUAAAAUCAGGCACGAUUCAUUUAAUUUAACAACAGACAUUUUGGUCCCAAUUGUGCUCAUAACUCUAGGACUAUCUGUACUGUGCAGAUCCCAAAAGCUACUCAAAAUUUAGUCUCAAGACCCUGCCCUCUCCCCCACUCAUUCCUUCGUCCUUUUUCUUUUCUCUGGGGCCUACAGCAGUAGGGAACAUGGUCACUUACCUCUCUGCCAUUCAGCUGAUGUGGUCUGUUGCUACAGGACCAGAUAAAAGGGCACCUGCUAUUAGAUUGCUCCUUGUUUCUUUCUCUUUUAAAAUAGCAGUGGGGGAAGAUCCCCCAUUUUCAUUCCCACUAUGGGAGGAACACUGGACACUUUCUUCACCCCCCCCCCCUGUUUUCUGAUGGAAAUUAUCAGCUCUGAAAGAAUAAUUCUUUCAAAGCUGUUCUUUGCCUACUGGGUGUCAGAAACAUAGGCCCAAAGCCUUUUCCCUCUGUCCGCAUGUGCAAAACUAACCACGGUUAUGAGAAAGGUUAACUUGGAUUAGAAAAUAAUACAACAUGAAAACAUUGUCAGAAACCUGCCUCUAGCGCCACUGCUUCAGUCCCAAAGGAUUUCAUCCUUGUUGCAGCUCUUUUAAAAUAAAAAUAAAUAAUUAGCAUCAAGGAACUCCAUCCCCAACUUUCUACAUUAUUUUACUUAGGGUUCGCUAAGCUCUCUGGAGUCUUUACCUUCCUCCACUUCGAGAUCUAGGAUCAUAAGCAUAGCAUAGCUUGGCAGCCCCAGAGCAAAUCUUUCAGAUAUGCUCCAAAAUUUCAACUUUAAUUUUCAAUUUAAGCACCAGCAUCUACAUUGGGGCUUGAAAAUUUAACCUGCAAUUUGGGGAAACAGCAGCAGCAGUGAAAGAGCAACAGACACAAUAAUGCCAGCAUGUUGCAUCAGCAGGAAAGCUGUCAGAUCAGGCCUGCAAAAAUCAGCAGCAAAGAAUGUUCUGUCUCACUCUUACCUGUGACUAUGGUCUUUUUAGUCUGAAAGAAAGAAGAUGGUGGCAUGGAUAAUACCACCCAUCUGACAGUUGCAGGGAAAGGUUGCCCCACUUAUCCAUAGCUUUCUUCACCUGUGGCUUCACUUCUAUAUGUUGGAACCAGUGGUGAAAUUCAAUUUUUUUUACUAUGGGUUCUGUGGGUGUGGCUUGGUGGGCAUGGCUUGGUGGGCAUGGCAGGGGAAGGAUACUGCAAAAUCUCCAUUACCAUCCCACUCCAGGGGAAGGAUACUGCAAAAUCCCCAUUCCCUCCCCACUCCUGGGGGAAGGAUAUUGCAAAAUCCCCAUUCACACCUUACUCUGGGGCCAGCCAGAGGUGGUAUUUGCCAGUUCUCCAAACUACUCAAAAUUUCCACUGCCGGUUCUCCAGAACCUGUCAGAAUUUCACCCGUGGUUGGAACUCUCUAGGCCAGUCUCUAAGUUCCUCUGUGGCAUGCAUUUCUUUUUAAAGACUGAAGGGCUAGCUGGAAGCUUCCAUGCCUGUGGAGCCCAUGGUAGCUAUCAUCUGUUCCUCACUGUCUUUAGGCCAUAGUCAAGAUGCAUUCGUGCAUCCUGCAGUUAUUUGGUGGGAGUGGCUCGUUUCCCACCAAAGUUAAGCAGGGUCAGACUGGAUUUGUACUUGGAUAGGAGACCACCAGGAAAUCUUUCUAAGAAGACAAAACAUCUUGGAACAAUAUCCUGUCCAAGAAAAUCUGUGAAGCUGCCAUGAGCUAAGCUCCAUUGAAAGAGUCUUUACCUUUACUUUUCUCCUAUCCUGUCAGCCCUCAGUUCAACUCAGGCUUUCUUUCACAGAUUUCCUUUAAUUUUAUACUAUUACAGGACAUGAAGUGAUUAGGAAUUACAGUACAGCAAGGUAAAACUGCAGUUGUUUUUAUCCUCUGCUUCACCUAAGCCUUACAUGCCUUCUGUCAUACCUCACACCAAGAUAAUUUCCUUGCAGAGAAAAAAAAUGAUACCUCUGCUCCUACACAGAAUAAAUUAUUUAAAUCUGCUGAGAUUCAGAACUGACAUCCCAAAUCAACCUAAGUGGUGAUCUGAAUCCAGACCUGAGGCUCAGCUGCAUUUUGUCUAACCACAGUUAGUGCAACAAGCCGUGGUUGAUGUCUAAACCAUAUACAUAGUUUAUUACAACUUCCCAUAAUCUCUUCAUGAUUAUUCUGCAAAUCUGUAAUGUACCAAGUGUCUUGAUGUGCUAUUUUCAUGCUGGUCUGCCAGGUAAUGUAAAUCUGGCCUUUCUUUUUAACAGCCCUACAAUUCUCCAAUCCAUUAUUCAUUCUUGUCCCUGCCUUCUAGAACAAACGUUGACCCUUAAUAGAGAAGAAGGAGAAAUCCAGUUUGGCCCAGAAGUUGAGACUGGGAGACAGUGAGUUCUAGUCCCAUCUUUGGCACAAAACCAGCUGGGGGAUCUUAGGCCAGUCAUUUCUCACCAUCCUGGGAAGUACGUAAUGGCAAACCAUUUCCAAAAUUUUGCCAAGAAAGCUGCAGGGACUAAUUCAUCAGUUGCCUGGAGUCAACAAUGUGCACAAAGGUGCACAAAUGCACACACACAUACAAGAAGGACCAGUGAAUGAAUAAAUUGCCAUGGCUGUAUAAGCAAUUUUUUAAAACUGCCAUAGAAAAAGACAUGAUUUCCACCUGGCAGUCUUGCAGGGCUGGGAUUUAACUGUAUAUGUAAAUAUAGUGCAAAUAAUCAGCUACACGACUGUAACAUUAGAGUGUAAGCUUGUUUUGUACUCCUGUUUUACAGUUAUUACAACUUGAUGGCCCUCCUUCCCAAGAUAGGUCAAAUUUCCUAUAGCUGUUGUCUUUUAGCUCUAAAAGCAAAGGGGGGGGGGUUGGUCGGGGUGGAUGACCCACCAUCUAACAAGUCUGCUGUGAAAAAGUGGCACGUGUUGUUUCCUGCUGCUCCCUUAAAUCUCUAGUUUCCUGCCACCCUGUAGGAACAGAUGACAGUUCUGCUUGGACUCAGGAGAAAAAUGCAACAUUCACUAUUAUCCGUGAUUGCCCUCCCACUCCCUUCCUCUCCCCCCUCCCCCGCCACCUAAGCCACAGACGCCGAAAGCAAAAUCCAAUCGCGUUGAACAAAUCCAAUUUGCAGUAGCAGCUAAUAGAGUUUGUUGCUGGUUUAAGCGAUGGCAGCGUCAGAAAGGCCUCUAGGCCUCAGGCCAAAUAGAGAAAGAAUGAAGUUGGCUACUGAACCAUCCACACAUAUGGGGCUGGGCAAGCUUUUUUAAAAAAUCCCCCCCCCUCAAUCUUUGACUGGGCUCCAGAAAAAAUGAAAUUUACCAGGAGAACAAUACAAUUACAUCUCUAUGCAUUCUCCUGUUUGGAUUAAGAUCAGGCAAAGGCGAAGAGGAAAACUCAAGGGCCGCUGAGAUCAAACUCCUGUAGGCAGCCCUCAUCUCUAUUUCUCUCAUUAGCUUCCUUCUUCCUUCCUAAAAGCAACAACUCAGUUGUGGGUCAUAAAUGCAGCCCAGCCUCUUUCAUAGAGCCCUUCCUUGCUGGCCCACUCUUCUUCCAUAUGAUGGGACACCUCUACAUUUCUGAGAGGGGAAAGGUGACGGGUUCAGGUCCAGACACUGAGCAAGUUUCUGUAUGUCUAGAACAGUAAGAUCCUGAUUUGCUGCUGAGUAUAUCAGUCUAUAAUGGCAAAAGAACUGGUCUUUAGGUACAUGUGUCUGUAGGUACGUAUUUGCGUCUAGAAGGGAAACAUAAUAGUCUAUAAAGGAAUUUCCUGCAUUUCAGUAUAAAUAAAGGUGUAGACUAGAACUAUUUCUUCUCUAUCUGCUCUAGCAAACAGCUAUCUUCGUACCAAAUGUGAAUUCAUGGUUAACUGAACCAUGUUACUGGAUUAACCCGAUUGCUUAGACAUGCACAAUAUACCCAAUCGUUAAGUCACCACACUGAGCCACAGGCAAAGCAAUUACACUUAAGUUCCCUUAACAACAGCCAGAAAAUGCAUCAUUCUUGAAGGUCACUUCUACACUUCUACUCAUCUUCAAUUUGUAGUCAGGGUCAGUUAUCUGAUACCACAUUAAGCUGGUGCCUUGUACUUUUCCCAACACAGGUGUGAUAAGAUUCAUUUCAAUACAGUUAGUCCUCACUUACUGACUGCUUCAUGCAGCAACCAUUCAAAGUUACGACACUUCAAAAAAAAAAAAAAAACUUUGCAACCCAGCCUCACAUUUACAAUCCUCGCAGCAUCCUGCAGUCACAUGAUUGUCGUUUGCUUACUUUCGCAACUGGCAUGUAUUUUCGCUUGAGUCAGGCAGAAUUAAUACUGUACACUAUGGAAGGAGGAAGUAAAAUUAUAAGUCAUGCCCACAUAAUUUUUUGUUUCGUGACCCUAUGUCUUCACUUAAUAACCAAAGGGGAAGUAAGAUUAUCCAAUGCAUUCAGAAAGUAUUCUGACCCUCCUUCACUUUUGCCAAUUUUGUUGUGCUGCAGCCUGAUUCUACUGUUGUUGAAUUCAACCUAAAUUUCUAAAAUUCUAUUUUCACUUUGCCAUUAUGGGGUACUGAGUGUGGAUUAAUGAGAAAAGAAAAUGAAUGUCAACAACUGUAGAAUCAGCCUGCAGCAUAACAAAAUUGACAAGGGGGUCUGAAUACUUUCUGAAUGCAUUGUAAGUCCAGUCAGGGUCACAUGAUUUUCCACCUAGUGACCAUGUUGCUUAGCAACUGAGUUACCGAUCCCAAUUGUGGUUGCUACGUGAGGACUACCCGCACAUAGUAAUGUAUAACAUCUUUUAGAGUCAUCCAACUAUUGUUGCUUCAACUUAAUGAGGGCAGGUUUUACAGUAUAUCAUCUCAGUAGCUAGGUGAUGUUAUGAAGGCGCUAGAAGUGAGGAAACGACCUAAGUGACUAGUGAUGCUUUAGUAGAGAGUGUGGUAUUAACACAACGGGGGCUGGGAGGUGGAAUGGGAUAACUCACCGCAGCCCACCUACCAUGACUAACUCACCACAGGACAACUUGCCGCAGCCAACUCGCCACGGUGACAAUUCAAUGCGGAAUAACUCAAGAGAUGGACAGGUAGAAUUGCAGGUCAUUCCAGCCUUGAGGACUUCUAGCUUGAGAAGGUUCCAACCUAAAGCAAGACAAGACUCGCACUGUAAUUCACUUGUCCCUCUCUUGAGUUAUCCCACUUGAAUUGUCCCAUAGCGAGUUGUCCUGCGGUGAAUUGGGCACAGCAAGUUGUCCCGGGCGAAUUGGUCAGGGCGAGUCAGCCAUGGCGAGUUAUUCUAGACCCGCUGGGAGGUGCCCAACUCACACUGGCUACUUUUAGCCCAUCCUUCCCCUUGUGUUGCUCUCAACUUCCCUCCGUGACCAUUUUGGUUCAGGCAGCAGGAAUGAUUAAGCAGACAGCAAAGCAGGAUGGGGGAUUUCCCUAAGCAAAUAACAGUAUGAGAGGCAGAGUAAGUGAAAGGGAAUGAUGAGGGAGGGAGAACCUGAGAGAAGCAGGCUGGUGACAGCAAGUGAAGCAGAAACACACAUACACACAUACACACACCUCAUUCUAAGGGACAGGUUCUGAUGAAUAGUUAAAAACCCAUGGUUCAGGCCAUCUGUCAAAACUUGCUCCUUCCAGCUCAAGACCAUUAGGGAGAGCAACUAACUCCUCCCCCCCCAGCCUAGCAAGCAAGAUUGAAAACGGGUAGGAGGAAAAUGUUUGCAGCUACCAAUCACUGUUUCUUCUCUUUUUAAAACCUUGUUCUGUAUUAAAUGGCCAGGAAAAGUACCACUGGUUCCUUGGUUAAUGAGGCAGAGUAAAAGGUCAGUUGUAGGAACAGAGCAAAUUUACCCAGUCAUCUUUUGUGCUACUUACAGAACAGAGGAAAUUGGAAUGGACUUGCAUUCCAGCAUCGCAAACACUGGUCCUCAUCAGAGGACAUAACAAAUCCAGAAGUAAAUUGGCUAUUUCCAGAGCGAAGGGAAAUACACAUUAAGAAAAUAAGCCAUUUAGGACACCAUCCUCCCCUGCAGCAGUUCCCAUCAUACCCAGCCACAAUAACCAGGCAUGUAAAAAAAGAUACAGUUCAACAACUUUGGAGAAUCUCUUAUCUUCUUUAAGGCUGUUAAAUGUGGCUAAGACACUGAGCUUGUCGAUCAGAAAGGUCAGCAGUUCGGCGGUUCAAAUCCCUAAUACAGGUCUCCUGCAUGAGCAGGGGGUUGGACUAGAUGACCUCCAAGCAGUGGUGGGAUUCAGCCAGUUCACACCUAUUCGGGAGAACCAGUUGUUAACUUUCUAAGCAGUUCGGAGAACCGGUUGUUGGAAGAAAUCUUAUUUUGUUUUUUUCCACUUUACAGGGCUAAUCCUGUAAGGAAAGCAGGAAGGAAACAUUCUGGUGUUGUUUCUAGCCUAAUCUUUAUUGCCCUGUUUACAGAAACUGCCUCUCCUGUUAACCCUUAUUACAUUGUAACAGCUAAGUCAUUACAACAUGAGUGAUGUUAAGUUGACCAUGCCCAAAUGGUCACAUGACCACCGAGCCACGCCUACCCAGUGGUCAUUAGGACAGAGAACUGGUUGUUAAAUUAUUUGAAUCCCACCACUGUCUCCAAGGUAUCUUCCAACAUGUAUACAUGUUCUCCAGGUGCUAAUCUUUAGGCACUGCUGCUCAUUCUGUCUACCUGGAUAGGAUGAAAGAUUUCGGCAGCAGGUUUGGAGAAAUCUGCAAAAGAAUGUCAACCUAAUCUUAAUUUAAAAAGAUCCCUGAAAGUUGCUCAGUGGGAAUGAAACGUAUACAAUGGCUGCAGAAUAUUACUGGGGAGAUAAUAUGAAAAAUGAUACAAGAGGAGGUGGAAUGAGGUUCAGUGUUUAGAGUUGAGGUCUGACUGGAUUGCCAGAGCCCUGAACAACACACAACUCUGCCUUGCAACUUCUUGUUGCAGUCCGUUUUGAUUGGGUUACUUUGGUCUCCCUUUAGAAAAGGAUAUAUUAGACCACAGAGAUCUUCAGUCACUGCAUUUUGAAACCUAUCUAUUGCUCUAGACCUCUGAACUGCUUUGGAGAAACGGAAACUACUGAGUCAAGAGGAAAGAUAAAAGGAGACCUGAAUUCCCUUUUACAGUUAUCAAAACAGUAAUGCAAAACUAAUGCAAAGUUCCCCAGAUGGCAGCCUAGUAACCGUAGAAAACACAGUUCAGCAUCACCAGGUGGACAGGGAUCUUCUAAAUCUGAAACUCUGCUUCCCCAUUGGUGUUUCAUGCAGUCAGUUUUGCCCAAGAACCAGGAUGUUUGCUAAAUUUCCUAACCCAUUCUAUAUUGCCAAUUAAGAUAAGCAUAGUUAAGAGCUACAUUUCCUGGAUCAAUAGCUGCAAAAAAAAAAAAGCCACCAUCGCAAGCGGCUUUAAAAGCAAGCUUUGCAACUCCUAUUAGCUGUGAGGCUAUAGCAGAGAACUUGCAGUAUGUUAGUCAGGUUUACUAUUAGUUCCAUGACUGUUGCUACAUUUUAUGUAAUACAUCCAUUUAGUUCUUUGCAAUGCGUUGUGUUCGCUUAGCUAUGCAACCUGCUCCUCCUCAAAAAAUUAAAAAUAGCUUAACUUUUACUGAGUUGGCAAAAAAAAAAAUGGAUCUUCUCCCUCGAGAUAUAAGCAAUAUUAAACAUAUUUUUGUUUACUUUAUUCUUUUAAUGGAAAUGGAUCAGAAUGGUACCGAUGGUAAGCAGUGAUGGAGCAGAAUGGGAAUCUUAUGUUCUGCAGCUCCGGGGUAUUUUUCAGAGAGGGAGUGAUUAUGUCAUCUGUCAACCUGCCAAGCUCCUUGACAGCCUUGUUCUGACAGGUGAAAGAGGUGAUAACAAGGCUUUCAAAUUUUACUUCCGUGUCUGACAGGUUAACACAGGAGAAGUCAAAGAAUGAGAAAAAUAAUAAAUCUGAAACUGAUUUUUCUUUAAACGGGGUUUCUUACACCGCGCUAGCCGUUUAAAUGUUAACACUUCUUCGCAAGAUUGUUUGCAUUUCUAAUUAAAAACUAAAGGUUGCAUUUCA
Molecule: non-coding RNA, 10667 nt
Organism: Pantherophis guttatus
Lineage: Eukaryota; Metazoa; Chordata; Lepidosauria; Squamata; Colubridae
Source: RefSeq, a predicted model, not a curated record